Molecule: ribosomal RNA, 253 nt
Filed under: uncultured bacterium
Lineage: Bacteria
Description: partial 16S ribosomal RNA
Rfam family: Bacterial small subunit ribosomal RNA
Source: RNAcentral
UACGGGGGGGGCUAGCGUUGUUCGGAAUUACUGGGCGUAAAGGGCGCGUAGGCGGCCUACUAAGUCGGACGUGAAAGCCCACGGCUUAACCGUGGAAGUGCAUGGGAAACUGCUGAGCUUGAGUACUUAAGAGGAUCGCGGAAUUCCCGGUGUAGAGGUGAAAUUCGUAGAUAUCGGGAGGAACACCAGUGGCGAAGGCGGCGAUCUGGGAAGAUACUGACGCUGAGGUGCGAAAGCGUGGGGAGCAAACAGG